ACUUAUCCUAGUGGUUCUCAGGGGCAGUGAUGGGUGUGCUCGUUAGCAGGCUCAUUCCACCAAUGCAAGAACCAGGCAAGAUCAGAGGAGGACACAGAUGAGUGGUCUCGCCCACCUGCAAGUGUGGGCUUGAAUGGUGUUGCUAUGGGACUCUGCGGCACUACGCUUGGCUAUGCUCUGACUCUCUCUGCCUAAUACUUCAUGCCAAGAUUUUUUGAGACAGGAUCGCAUACCGUCACCCAAGCUGAAGUGCAAUGGUGCGAACAUGGCUCACUGCAGCCUAGACCGACUGAGCUAUGCAGUCUUCCCACCUCAGCCACCCGAAUAGGUGGGACUAUAGUUAGCUUCUUCCUGGAAUCCUGAAUCUUCCUGCUACAGGAUUUAGAGUGAGUUUAUACCUAUUAUAUUACUUCAUAUAAUUUUAAGAGAUCAUGAUAAAGAAUGAAGAUAAAUACUUGUGGCUACUCUUC
Molecule: long non-coding RNA, 470 nt
Filed under: Homo sapiens (human)
Lineage: Eukaryota; Metazoa; Chordata; Mammalia; Primates; Hominidae
Description: HSALNT0323192
Source: RNAcentral